ACGUACACUCCUACGGGAGGCAGCAGUGGGGAAUUUUGGACAAUGGGCGAAAGCCUGAUCCAGCCAUGCCGCGUGCAGGAUGAAGGCCUUCGGGUUGUAAACUGCUUUUGUACGGAACGAAACGGCCUUUUCUAAUAAAGAGGGCUAAUGACGGUACCGUAAGAAUAAGCACCGGCUAACUACGUGCCAGCAGCCGCGGUAAUACGUAGGGUGCAAGCGUUAAUCGGAAUUACUGGGCGUAAAGCGUGCGCAGGCGGUUAUGUAAGACAGUUGUGAAAUCCCCGGGCUCAACCUGGGAACUGCAUCUGUGACUGCAUAGCUAGAGUACGGUAGAGGGGGAUGGAAUUCCGCGUGUAGCAGUGAAAUGCGUAGAUAUGCGGAGGAACACCGAUGGCGAAGGCAAUCCCCUGGACCUGUACUGACGCUCAUGCACGAAAGCGUGGGGAGCAAACAGGAUUAGAAACCCUAGUAGUCCCA
RNAcentral lists this ribosomal RNA (477 nucleotides) under uncultured organism. Its description in RNAcentral is "partial 16S ribosomal RNA". It matches the Rfam family "Bacterial small subunit ribosomal RNA", at positions 329 to 797 of the family's 1533-position model. The record is from RNAcentral.